RNAcentral lists this ribosomal RNA (627 nucleotides) under uncultured fungus. Its description in RNAcentral is "eukaryotic LSU rRNA". It matches the Rfam family "Eukaryotic large subunit ribosomal RNA", at positions 23 to 664 of the family's 3401-position model. The record is from RNAcentral. Lineage: Eukaryota; Fungi.
ACCCGCUGAACUUAAGCAUAUCAAUAAGCGGAGGAAAAGAAACCAACAGGGAUUGCCUCAGUAACGGCGAGUGAAGCGGCAACAGCUCAAAUUUGAAAUCUGGCUCUUUCAGGGUCCGAGUUGUAAUUUGUAGAAGAUGCUUUGGGUGUAGCUCCGGUCUAAGUUCCUUGGAACAGGACGUCAUAGAGGGUGAGAAUCCCGUACGUGACUGGUUGCUUUCGCUCGUGUAAAGCUCUUUCGACGAGUCGAGUUGUUUGGGAAUGCAGCUCAAAACGGGUGGUAAAUUUCAUCUAAAGCUAAAUAUUGGCCAGAGACCGAUAGCGCACAAGUAGAGUGAUCGAAAGAUUAAAAGCACUUUGGAAAGAGAGUUAAACAGUACGUGAAAUUGUUGAAAGGGAAGCGCUUGCAACCAGACUUGCGCGCUGUUGAUCAUCCGAGAUUUUUCCCGGUGCACUCGGCAGCGCUCAGGCCAGCAUCGGUUUUGGUGGGCGGAUAAAGGCCUUGGGAAUGUAGCUUCUUUCGGGGAGUGUUAUAGCCCUCGGUGCAAUGCGCCCUACCGGGACCGAGGACCGCGCUUCGGCUAGGAUGCUGGCGUAAUGGUUGUAAGCGACCCGUCUUGAAACACGG